Molecule: ribosomal RNA, 490 nt
Filed under: uncultured bacterium
Lineage: Bacteria
Description: partial 16S ribosomal RNA
Rfam family: Bacterial small subunit ribosomal RNA
Source: RNAcentral
GUGCACGCUGGCGGUAGGCCUAACACCUGCAAGUCGCACGGCAGCACAGUAAGAGCUUGCUCUUACGGGUGGCGAGUGGCGGACGGGUGAGGAAUACAUCGGAAUCUACUUUUUCGUGGGGGAUAACGUAGGGAAACUUACGCUAAUACCGCAUACGACCUACGGGUGAAAGCAGGGGAUCUUCGGACCUUGCGCGAUUGAAUGAGCCGAUGUCGGAUUAGCUAGUUGGCGGGGUAAAGGCCCACCAAGGCGACGAUCCGUAGCUGGUCUGAGAGGAUGAUCAGCCACACUGGAACUGAGACACGGUCCAGACUCCUACGGGAGGCAGCAGUGGGGAAUAUUGGACAAUGGGCGCAAGCCUGAUCCAGCCAUACCGCGUGGGUGAAGAAGGCCUUCGGGUUGUAAAGCCCUUUUGUUGGGAAAGAAAAGCAGCAGGUUAAUACCCCGCUGUUCUGACGGUACCCAAAGAAUAAGCACCGGCGAACUUCGU